This 472-nucleotide ribosomal RNA is filed under the name Bacillus sp. CH313a_11T. Its description in RNAcentral is "bacterial SSU rRNA". It matches the Rfam family "Bacterial small subunit ribosomal RNA", at positions 158 to 610 of the family's 1533-position model. Lineage: Bacteria; Bacillati; Bacillota; Bacilli; Caryophanales; Bacillaceae. RNAcentral also lists the same sequence under 1 other name. The record is from RNAcentral.
CGGGGCUAAUACCGGAUAACAUUUUUGAACUGCAUGGUUUCGAAAUUUGAAAGGCGGCUUUCGGCUGUCACUUAUGGAUGGACCCGCGUCGCAUUAGCUAGUUUGGUGAGGUAACGGCUCACCAAGGCAACGAUGCGUAGCCGACCUGAGAGGGUGAUCGGCCACACUGGGACUGAGACACGGCCCAGACUCCUACGGGAGGCAGCAGUAGGGAAUCUUCCGCAAUGGACGAAAGUCUGACGGAGCAACGCCGCGUGAGUGAUGAAGGCUUUCGGGUCGUAAAACUCUGUUGUUAGGGAAGAACAAGUGCUAGUUGAAUAAGCUGGCACCUUGACGGUACCUAACCAGAAAGCCACGGCUAACUACGUGCCAGCAGCCGCGGUAAUACGUAGGUGGCAAGCGUUAUCCGGAAUUAUUGGGCGUAAAGCGCGCGCAGGUGGUUUCUUAAGUCUGAUGUGAAAGCCCACGGCUC